This is a non-coding RNA of Camellia sinensis, 817 nucleotides long. NCBI's taxonomy places the organism in Eukaryota, Viridiplantae, Streptophyta, Magnoliopsida, Ericales, Theaceae. The record is from RefSeq and is a predicted model, not a curated record.
UAGGUGAAUGUCACAUUGGCAUAAAUAUUCAAUUAACUAGCUUUCAGGUCACUUCUAAUAUUUAAUCGAACACCACAAGUCAAUUUCAAUUAUAUUGUCCCUUCUUAGAAUUGUGGAGACUGUAGGUGAAAGUGUGACUAAUCUCCAACUAGGCUCAAUGGCAAUUGUUCAUUCUCAAGGACGUUCCUUCACUAGACCGACACCAUUGGUCUUUUGAGGUUUGUUUGUUUUUUUCUCAAUAGUUCACUUUUAUGAGCUUGGCUUCUGGUCUUCCUCCUCCUUCUGACUUAAUUUGUUGUUUCCUUCACUUAUUUUGUGAGGUUGAAUUUGGGGAUAUCAUCUCGAGGGAGAGAGAAAUUGGUGAUGUUCCACUUUGCAGUGUAAUUUCUAAAAUUGGCCAGCUUGUUCCUUAAAUAAGCAUUGGCCCAUGAAUGAGUAACUUGUAUAAUCUUGCUAACUAUUUCUUCUCUCUGGAUCUGAAUUUGCAAAUUUGGGUGCAGGCUUUAUAAUUGAACUGGUGCAAGCUAUUAUAGUGUCAACAAACUGACUUCUGCUGGUUGCAAAGUAAAGAUUUGAAGAUUUGCACUAAAUAACAAAAAUGAAGGGGUGAUUUGAAGAAAAUUCAAAUUGUUUGACAGUAUAUGAUUGAGAUUUGGAAAGUUGUAGGGUUAAAUAUCUAAGGAGAUAAACUAGAAUUUUUAUGGUUUUCAAUUUGGCAUUGUAAUUUAAAUUUGAGCCAAUCUGUUUUAUUAUAUACUAAUUAUCAGUUAAUUUUCAAUCUCUGUUCCUAAUUAAAUUUAUAUAAAUUCUCAGUUAA